RNAcentral lists this ribosomal RNA (465 nucleotides) under Vreelandella stevensii. Its description in RNAcentral is "partial 16S ribosomal RNA". It matches the Rfam family "Bacterial small subunit ribosomal RNA", at positions 338 to 795 of the family's 1533-position model. The record is from RNAcentral. Lineage: Bacteria; Pseudomonadati; Pseudomonadota; Gammaproteobacteria; Oceanospirillales; Halomonadaceae.
CCUACGGGCUGCAGCAGUGGGGAAUAUUGGACAAUGGGCGAAAGCCUGAUCCAGCCAUGCCGCGUGUGUGAAGAAGGCCUUCGGGUUGUAAAGCACUUUCAGUGGGGAAGAAAGCCUUGGGGCUAAUACCCUCGAGGAAGGACAUCACCCACAGAAGAAGCACCGGCUAACUCCGUGCCAGCAGCCGCGGUAAUACGGAGGGUGCGAGCGUUAAUCGGAAUUACUGGGCGUAAAGCGCGCGUAGGCGGUCUGAUAAGCCGGUUGUGAAAGCCCCGGGCUCAACCUGGGAACGGCAUCCGGAACUGUCAGGCUAGAGUGCAGGAGAGGAAGGUAGAAUUCCCGGUGUAGCGGUGAAAUGCGUAGAGAUCGGGAGGAAUACCAGUGGCGAAGGCGGCCUUCUGGACUGACACUGACGCUGAGGUGCGAAAGCGUGGGUAGCAAACAGGAUUAGAUACGCCGGUAGUC